CAGGAUUCAAAAGAAUUUAGUUUGAAUUAUUCCAUUUUUUUACGUUUUGAAGUAUAAUUCUAUAUGAAGAUCACACUUAUUGAAGUCAAUAAGGUUAUUUUUAUUGUCCACUAGUUUUAAUGUUAAAGUAUUACAUUUAUUAACUCUUCGAUGAUAAACUAAGUUUAUUGGUUCAUAUUUUACUUUUCCAUUAGAACCUAAAGGAAACUUGCAAAUUAUGUUACUCUGUCUUUCAUCAAUAAAGGUAUCACAAAUAAGAUUACA
Non-coding RNA from Caenorhabditis elegans, 264 nucleotides. Lineage: Eukaryota; Metazoa; Nematoda; Chromadorea; Rhabditida; Rhabditidae. The record is from Ensembl.